Molecule: long non-coding RNA, 692 nt
Filed under: Marmota monax (woodchuck)
Lineage: Eukaryota; Metazoa; Chordata; Mammalia; Rodentia; Sciuridae
Source: RNAcentral
GCUCUUUAUCUUUCUUACGUGCGCUCUCUGUCUCUCUCUUGCUCUUGCUCUCUCCCUGUUCAUCUCUUCUCUUUUCUCUCUCUCUCUUUCCUUCUUUCCUUUCUCUUUGUGGCACUGCUGCAAUAAAGAUCUUUUGGUUGCUCCGAGUGUUGUGGUCACUUUCCUUUCAUUGGUGCCGAAACCCGGGAGAGGGUUAAAACCCACUUUUGGGUCCCUCUUCCUUCGGAAGUGCCACUCACCAGAUGGCCUGAACCCAGGCCUGAACCCAUUUUCUCGACUGCCAGAACUCCAUCCACCACCGACCUUCGAUUGGUGAGUUUCCCCUUCCUGGAGUCCUAAACCCAAUGGUGGUGUCAGGAGGAUUUGGCCGUUGAUUGUCCGGCAAACCUCUUUGCCCACCUGCGGGGAGGAAAACACCCCACCACAGCCUUUAAGGCUACGGUGGCCCUCAGGGACUCCUUCCUAGGGCAGAAUAGACUCCUGGGUUCAAAAUUAUUCCCUUCCCUUCCCAGCUGUUAGUUACCAGCAUAGGCUUUGUAGGUCUCCCUCAAAGGACUGUGUAACCUCCAGGGACACAUAACAGAGAACUGAACAUCACAGUCCACCCAGACCUUCACCAUCUCUGUGGCUCUCCUAAAAUCCUAGUCCUCACACCUUCAAGACUCGGCUGCUAGAGAGAACCUUACCCUCCC